GACGGAAAGACCCCGUGCACCUUUACUACAGCUUGACAGUGGUAUUAGCGAUUAUUUGUGUAGGAUAGGCGGGAGUCUAUGAAACCAAGGCGCCAGCUUUGGUGGAGACAUCCUUGAAAUACCGCCCUGAUAAUUGUUGAUAUCUAACCGCGGCCCAUGAACCUGGGUCCGGGACCCUGUCUGGUGGGUAGUUUGACUGGGGCGGU
RNAcentral lists this ribosomal RNA (206 nucleotides) under uncultured Vexilliferidae. RNAcentral describes it as "partial Bacterial large subunit ribosomal RNA". It matches the Rfam family "Bacterial large subunit ribosomal RNA", at positions 2079 to 2283 of the family's 2925-position model. The record is from RNAcentral. Lineage: Eukaryota; Discosea; Flabellinia; Dactylopodida; Vexilliferidae.